UACAGAGGUCUCAAGCGUUGUUCGGAUUCAUUGGGCGUAAAGGGUGCGUAGGUGGCGAGGUAAGUUGGAUGUGAAAUCCCGGGGCUCAACCCCGGAACUGCAUUCAAUACUGCCUUGCUAGAGUACUGGAGAGGAGAUUGGAAUUUACGGUGUAGCAGUGAAAUGCGUAGAUAUCGUAAGGAAGACCAGUGGCGAAGGCGGAUCUCUGGACAGUUACUGACACUGAGGCACGAAGGCCAGGGGAGCAAACGGG
This 253-nucleotide ribosomal RNA is filed under the name uncultured bacterium. RNAcentral describes it as "partial 16S ribosomal RNA". It matches the Rfam family "Bacterial small subunit ribosomal RNA", at positions 524 to 776 of the family's 1533-position model. The record is from RNAcentral.